Molecule: ribosomal RNA, 446 nt
Filed under: uncultured organism
Description: partial 16S ribosomal RNA
Rfam family: Bacterial small subunit ribosomal RNA
Source: RNAcentral
ACACUCCUGCGGGAGGCAGCAGUGGGGAAUAUUGGACAAUGGGCGCAAGCCUGAUCCAGCCAUGCCGCGUGAGUGAUGAAGGCCCUAGGGUUGUAAAGCUCUUUCACCGGUGAAGAUAAUGACGGUAACCGGAGAAGAAGCCCCGGCUAACUUCGUGCCAGCAGCCGCGGUAAUACGAAGGGGGCUAGCGUUGUUCGGAUUUACUGGGCGUAAAGCGCACGUAGGCGGACUAUUAAGUCAGGGGUGAAAUCCCGGGGCUCAACCCCGGAACUGCCUUUGAUACUGGUAGUCUUGAGUUCGAGAGAGUUGAGUGGAAUUCCGAGUGUAGAGGUGAAAUUCGUAGAUAUUCGGAGGAACACCAGUGGCGAAGGCGGCUCACUGGCUCGAUACUGACGCUGAGGUGCGAAAGCGUGGGGAGCAAACAGGAUUAGAUACCCCUGUAGUCC